RNAcentral lists this transfer RNA (65 nucleotides) under human gut metagenome. It matches the Rfam family "tRNA", at positions 6 to 65 of the family's 71-position model. From Rfam's summary of the family: Transfer RNA (tRNA) molecules are approximately 80 nucleotides in length. Their secondary structure includes four short double-helical elements and three loops (D, anti-codon, and T loops). Further hydrogen bonds mediate the characteristic L-shaped molecular structure. tRNAs have two regions of fundamental functional importance: the anti-codon, which is responsible for specific mRNA codon recognition, and the 3' end, to which the tRNAs corresponding amino acid is attached (by aminoacyl-tRNA synthetases). tRNAs cope with the degeneracy of the genetic code in two manners: having more than one tRNA (with a specific anti-codon) for a particular amino acid; and 'wobble' base-pairing, i.e. permitting non-standard base-pairing at the 3rd anti-codon position. The record is from RNAcentral. RNAcentral also lists the same sequence under 1 other name.
UGGUAGCUCAAUGGAUAGAGCGUCGGUCUCCGGAGCCGAAGGCUGUAGGUUCGAUCCCUAUCCGG